Molecule: ribosomal RNA, 345 nt
Filed under: uncultured Armatimonadota bacterium
Lineage: Bacteria; Bacillati; Armatimonadota
Description: bacterial SSU rRNA
Rfam family: Bacterial small subunit ribosomal RNA
Source: RNAcentral
GACGAACGCUUGCGGCGUGCCUAAGAAAUGCAAGUCGAGCGAGAUUCUGCGCUAACCAAAGCUUCGGCAGAGGUUUUGCAGAGUUUAGCGGCGAACGGUCGCGUAACACGUAAGCAACCUGCCCUGAAGUGGGGGAUAGCCCGCCGAAAGGCGGAUUAAUACCGCAUGUGGAUGCGCUGGCGCAUGCCAGUGCAUCUAAAGCAGCAAUGCGCUUCAGGAUGGGCUUGCGGCCUAUCAGCUAGUUGGUGGGGUAACGGCCUACCAAGGCGACGACGGGUAGCUGGUCUGAGAGGAUGGUCAGCCGGAUUGGGACUGAGACACGGCCCAGACUCCUACGGGAGGCAG